RNAcentral lists this small RNA (643 nucleotides) under Histoplasma capsulatum var. duboisii H88. RNAcentral describes it as "Histoplasma capsulatum H88 hypothetical RNA". Lineage: Eukaryota; Fungi; Ascomycota; Eurotiomycetes; Onygenales; Ajellomycetaceae. The record is from RNAcentral.
UAAAUAGGGACUGAUAAUUACACCGCCCUGGCUAGUUUACACCUGCUAAAAUGUCUACUUUUCAUACGGAAUAGUGGAUACACAACUCUCGUGCUGCAAAAUAGCUUGAAUGGAUCGUGAGAAACUUCUCGUUGCUUGCUCGCAAUUUGAAGUUGUAGUUACACAGAUAGAAAUUUUUAUAUCAUAUUGAAAUCUGAUGGGGGUGGAAGGCUGAUUCAUUGCAACUAUCUAACGGGUGCAGCACUGCUCAUAUAGCCUUCUAGCGAGCGAUAGGGAUGCCAACAAAAUCUAUAUAAAAAAGAUGUCAUCAUUCAUCACCUUACAGAGCUAGAUCAUCUCAAUUCGAUCUGGAUCUUGUCAUUGAUGAGAAAGACAAUUUUAACACUGUAUAUAAUAAAUUCAUUAUCAAACAAUAAAGAGCAGUGAGUAUCCAGCUGAUACAUACCUAGCUAGCGAGAAAUAUCUACUUGAAUAGAUUUAGGUAUCUAUUUCAUAAGCAAUCAAUUAAAUAUUGAUAGAUCGCUAGAUAUCUAGUUAGGCUAGACAAAUUAUUAGAUGUCCAGCUGGUAGGCAUCUAGAUAGCUAGCAAUAUCUAAUUCUAUAGAAAUCAAUUGGAUAUCAAGUGGGUAGACAGCAAGCUAGG